Molecule: ribosomal RNA, 253 nt
Filed under: uncultured bacterium
Lineage: Bacteria
Description: partial 16S ribosomal RNA
Rfam family: Bacterial small subunit ribosomal RNA
Source: RNAcentral
UACGGGGGGGGUAAGCGUUGUUCGGAAUUACUGGGCGUAAAGGGCUCGUAGGCGGCCAACUAAAUCGGACGUGAAAUCCCUCAGCUUAACUGGGGAACUGCGUCCGAUACUGGAUGGCUUGGAUUUGGGAGAGGGAUGCGGAAUUCCAGGUGUAGCGGUGAAAUGCGUAGAUAUCUGGAGGAACACCGGUGGCGAAGGCGGCAUCCUGGACCAAUAUUGACGCUGAGGAGCGAAAGCCAGGGGAGCAAACGGG